Molecule: long non-coding RNA, 526 nt
Filed under: Nicotiana benthamiana
Lineage: Eukaryota; Viridiplantae; Streptophyta; Magnoliopsida; Solanales; Solanaceae
Description: long non-coding RNA (NBEN_LNC010317)
Source: RNAcentral
UCAAUAUUAUAAACUCCAUUCACUUCAGAUUUUCAGUUACAACUUCUUGAAAUGCUUUUUCAAUAGCCAGUUUCAAGAAUCCCUUUCAUUCCACCAAAGAAAAAAUUGAUACUUUUGAUCUCGAGGCGGAGAUACCUUCAAGAUAGUUUGUGGGACUACACUAGAUUUGUUAUUAUUGUUGUCGCUGAUCUCGAGACGCAAAUAAAUUAAGGUAGGGUAAGGUCUGUAUACACACUAAACUCCACUUGUGUGAAUACAUUAAGUUUGUUGUUGUCGUUGUUGAUCUCGAGGCGGAGAUACCUUCAAGGUAGGGUACACUAGAUUUUGUUAUUGUUGUUGCUGCUGAUCUUGAGGCGGAGAUACAUUCAAGGUAGGGUAAGGUCUCUAUCCACAUUACCCUUCUCAAACCACACUUGUGAGACUACACUAAGUUUGUUGUUAUCGUUGUUGUUGAUCUCGAGGAGGAGAUACCUUCAAGGUAGGGUAAGGUCAGCGUACACACUACCUUCCUCAAACUCCACUUGUG